AACGAACGCUGGCGGCAUGCCUAACACAUGCAAGUCGAACGAGACCUUCGGGUCUUGUGGCGCACGGGUGCGUAACGCGUGGGAACCUGCCCUUAGGUUCGGAAUAACUCCCCGAAAGGGGUGCUAAUACCGGAUAAUGUCUUCGGACCAAAGAUUUAUCGCCUUUGGUUGGGCCCGCGUUGGAUUCGCUAGUUGGUAGGGUAAAAGCCUACCAAGGCGACGAUCCAUAGCUGGUCUGAGAGGAUGAUCAGCCACACUGGGACUGAGACACGGCCCAGACUCCUACGGGAGGCAGCAGUGGGGAAUAUUGGACAAGGGGCGAAAGCCUGAUCCAGCAAUGCCGCGUGAGUGAUGAAGGCCUUAGGGUUGUAAAGCUCUUUUAACCGGGAUGAUAAUGACAGUACCGGGAGAAUAAGCACCGGCUAACUCCGUG
This 433-nucleotide ribosomal RNA is filed under the name uncultured bacterium. Its description in RNAcentral is "partial 16S ribosomal RNA". It matches the Rfam family "Bacterial small subunit ribosomal RNA", at positions 29 to 507 of the family's 1533-position model. The record is from RNAcentral.